RNAcentral lists this ribosomal RNA (377 nucleotides) under uncultured Phycisphaerae bacterium. RNAcentral describes it as "bacterial SSU rRNA". It matches the Rfam family "Bacterial small subunit ribosomal RNA", at positions 521 to 896 of the family's 1533-position model. The record is from RNAcentral. Lineage: Bacteria; Pseudomonadati; Planctomycetota; Phycisphaerae.
UAAUACGAAGGUGGCGAGCGUUAUUCGAAAUCACUGGGCUUAAAGAGCAUGUAGGCGGCCUACCAAGCGUUGUGUGAAAUCCCUCGGCUCAACCGAGGAACUGCAUGGCGAACUGGUAGGCUUGAGGCAAGUAGGGGCGAGUGGAACUCUUGGUGGAGCGGUGGAAUGCGUAGAUAUCAAGAGGAACGUCGGAGGCGAAGGCGACUCGCUGGGCUUGUCCUGACGCUGAGAUGCGAAAGCUAGGGUAGCGAACGGGAUUAGAUACCCCGGUAGUCCUAGCCCUAAACGAUGUCAACUAGACCGGAGUACUUCUGACAGUUUUCCGGUCGGAGCAAAAGUGUUAAGUUGACCGCCUGGGGAGUACGGUCGCAAGGCUA